RNAcentral lists this ribosomal RNA (381 nucleotides) under uncultured Pelotomaculum sp. RNAcentral's name for it is "bacterial SSU rRNA". It matches the Rfam family "Bacterial small subunit ribosomal RNA", at positions 1003 to 1382 of the family's 1533-position model. The record is from RNAcentral. Lineage: Bacteria; Bacillati; Bacillota; Clostridia; Eubacteriales; Desulfotomaculaceae.
GAAGUUACGUUUUCACCCUCGGGUGACAGGGAGACAGGUGGUGCAUGGUUGUCGUCAGCUCGUGUCGUGAGAUGUUGGGUUAAGUCCCGCAACGAGCGCAACCCCUACGUUUAGUUGCUAACAGGUGAAGCUGAGCACUCUAGACGAACUGCCGUUGACAAAACGGAGGAAGGUGGGAUGACGUCAAAUCAUCAUGCCCCUUAUGUUCUGGGCUACACACGUGCUACAAUGGCCGGUACAGACGGAGGCGAAGCCGCGAGGCGGAGCAAAUCCGAAAAAGCCGGUCUCAGUUCGGAUUGCAGGCUGCAAUUCGCCUGCAUGAAGUCGGAAUCGCUAGUAAUCGCAGGUCAGCAUACUGCGGUGAAUACGUUCCCGGGCCUU